UAGACCUUGACCUUCAAGUUUCCUAGACACUGCAGGAUCCCAGCACACCAGAGACCUCUGACUCACCUUUUAGCAUGUGAAGCUCCUUGGAAAACAAAAAGACUUGAUAUGUUUUUAAUUUGUUUUGCAGAUUUGGUGGAGGAGGUUGUCUGAACACUAGUGAUCCCUAAUUCAUGACCCUUGGGAUGUGUGGGGGGCAAGACAUGUGUCCUUUUCCACCCGUGUGCCCCAGCUCUUCUUCGUGACUCACUGAAGAGCUCUCCUAGUCAUGCCUAGUGGGAUGGAAAGAGGCAAAGAGUGCAUCAAAGUGCUCCUUGUCACCUCUCUUCAGGAAUUCCAGAGAGCAACUUAAGUUUGGCUGAUUCUUUACCUGAAAGAGCCACGGUUUCACCAAGGUUUGGUGGUUCACUAUUGAAAAAGAGAGCCUAGGAGAUCCCUACAAAUCUGGACUGGGUGUCCCUCCUACCAUGGAAAAUAAAUGAGGACAACAGCUGACGCUGCUAGAAGAAAUCACUUUUCUGCAGCAGUAUCUACCAUUUCACAUACAUGAGCAGCUCAACCCAAUGAGGGUCAACCCAACUCUACAGACUCCAGGCAAAGGGCAGCUCAAGGCAGGCACAGAGCUAACAGAAACACUGAUCGACAUGAGGAAUGCUUCCAUAGAAAUGCCUCCCCAGCUUCCAUCACCUGCCCAUCUUUGGAGCAUCCUCCCUGCUUUGAGGAAAGAAGAGAACUCAUCCCAGACCCGGAGCUGCAGAAAGAUGGUACCAGCCUUGCACAUUCAGCAGCUGUUUUUCCUGAGGCUGGAAGGCAGCUAUCAGUCAAAAUUAACACUGCAUGAAUGCCUGCAGUAAAGGUUUUUCACUGCUGAACAAUAACAGGAUGGAAAAGGAGAAGGGAAGCAGCGUAGAUGGAGAGAACAGGCUCAUGCAGGGGACAAGGAUGAAGGGGGAUUUCCACCUCUCAGUGGAGUUUGAGAACAUCUGCAUUUCAACUCCUGCUCUGCCAUAGAUUUAUUGUAUUAGAAAGGAUCAGGGUGUUACAGACAGACCAAGGUCUCGUAGAUUCUCCUCCAGAACAUGAGACUCAUACACUGGCUGAUGUAAGCAGCUACAAAUGGGUCCAGAAACAGCCACACUGGGAGCUGCAAUUUUAAUUUCCAUGGUAGUUCUGAUGCUGUCCCCUCUUUGCUGGGGUCACAUUGUCAGGAACUGAUUGACUCUGUAUACAGGACAAGAGGUAAUGGACUUAAGUUGCUCCAGGGGAGGUUCAGAUUGGAUAUUAGGAAACAUUUCUUCUCAAAAAGGCAGUCAAGCACUGUUACAGGCUGCACGGGGAAGUGGUGGGGUCACUGUCCCUGGAGGUGUUCCAGAACCAUGGAGAUGUGGCUCUGAGGGAUGUGGUCAGUGGGCAUGGUGGGAUGGGUUGGGGUUGGACUUGGCGAUCUUAGAGCUCUUUUCCAACAUCAGUGAUUCCGUGAUUCUAUGAUUCAUUGAGUGGUCCUAGACAAAGCAAGCAGGGUCCCGUGGGGAGGUGGUGACAUGUGAGAAGAAUUGCCUGGUUUCACUCCAGUUCCCUGCAGAAAUGUUCCUCACCUCUUUGCCAUCACCAAAAUAAUGGUGUAACGAGCAUGCUUAGCUCCCAAAGUGCCACAAAAUCUGUGCAAACCCAAGCAAUGGCUGCAACCAUGGUGUUCUGCAGGGACAGACAUCUCUGAUGCCUUGGUCUGCCCAGAAAAUCCGAAUAACAAAAUUUCUCUGUGUUCCAUUCUUCAGACUAAUGCCUGAGUCUGAAUCCUUUUCUUUCUUUCUUUCUUUCUUUCGUUCUUGUUUUCCUUUUUAAUCUGGUGAUAUUUUUUUCCCUCUGAACACAGUUCCCCCCUUCACUUCACAGCAUUUCAAAGCUCUUUCCUCUCCCUGGACGGAGCCUUAGCAAACAAUAUCGAUGAUCUAAGUUUCUCUCCAAAAUGAAAGAAGGAAUAUGCUCCCUGGUGCUCUUGUGUAUGGUGUGAACACGAUCCCCGCAGAGAAGAGUUUGCAAAUGAAAUGUGACAAGUACUUCUCAUGAUUGCAUCUCUUCCCUAAUCACUUUUGGCUGCAUGAGGAGCAGCCACCCUUCUCCUUCUUGUAAAUUCUGUUAGGACAGACAUGGCCCCACUGUCAGAGAAUCUAGUGGGGGUCAGCCUCUUCUUCCAGGUAACUAGUGAUAGGACAAGAGGGAAUGGCCCCAAGUUGCUCCAGGGGAGGUUCAGGUUGUAUAUUAGGUAGAGUUUCUUCUCUGAAAGAGUGGUCAGGUUGCCCAGGCUGCCCAGGGAGGUGGUGGGGUCACCGUCUCUGAAGGUGUUUAAGGAAAGAUUAGAUGUAGUACUUAGGGACUUGGUUUACUGGGCAAUAUUGGAAGUUGAUGGAUAGCUGGACUAGAAUCACAGAGUCAUAGAAUCAUAAAGGCUGGAAAAGAUCUCUCAGAUCCCCAACCCCAAUCCACCCCCACCAUGCCCACUGACCAUGUCUCUCAGUGCCACAUCUCCACGGUUCUGAACAUCUCCAGGGACACUGACCCCAUCACUCCCUGGGCAGCCUGUGCCACUGCCUGACCACUCCUUAUGAGAACAAAUGUUUCCUAAUAUUCAACCUGACCAACUCUUGGUGCAACCUGAGGAAACUUCAGUCCUCCCCUUUUCCAGAGCUGGAGGAGGUUAGAAGUAUCUGGAGGACUGAGGUGAAGUUUUGGGAAAAUCACAUUUUCCCUGGCAAAAUCUGAACCUGGUGGUGCUCAUUUUGUUGGCCCCUGCGCAGGAAACACUGUCCAGAAAGGUGAGACAUUGCUGGGAGUUGGCUUCCAUCACCCCCAUACAUCCCAUCUCUUCCCAUAGGGCUCUUGUGCAUGCUGUGAUAAGCACAUGUCAAAUUCGAUAACAGGGAUUUGGAUGAGCAAAAUACGUGGCUCAGAGGAUGCUUUCCCCUCUCACCAUGAGACUGGAUGUGUGUACAUUGCCAGACAGCAGAGACUUUGCUUUUUCUAUGGAUGGAGGCACUUUGGGACACAUGAAGGGUUGAAUCCACAGACACAGACCAUUGAGCACUCCCCAGAGGAGCCCCGUAGAUGAAUCUGCCUCCAUAUGAAUAUGAUUCUAUGAUGAAUAUGAUUCUAUGAUUCUAUGAAGCAGCACUGCUUCAGUCAAAAUGAAAAGGAAACACACACACACACACAAAACAAAUCAGCAGUCAGUUUUCAAGCUGGAAAUCCAUGCAUUUUCCUAAGAAAGGCUUGUACUCCUCUUAAUUCUUCCUAAUACUAUUUGCACUCCUUCCUAUGCUGUGGGAAAUAAGCUGUUCCAUUUUAAUUGGGAGAACUGCAACAAUAGCUUGUUUAAAUGCAUUUUGGGUCCACCCAGAGCAAAAUCCAAAGAAUAUAACCAGAUUAAAAAACGCGGUAUUACCACUGCCCCUCCCUCCAAAACAGAGAAAAAAUGAUUUCAGGAUGCACUAUGAUAAGAUAUUACUUUUUCAACUCUCAAAGGAAAGGUUUCAUUUUGUUAUGUCCCCACCUCAUCUCACUUGUAGAGUAAUCACUGCAUUUUGCUAAAUUUUUAAAAUGGGCAGCACUGGAAAAUCAAAAAUCAAAACAUUCCCUCUGACAAAGUUAUUAAAAUUGAAACGCUGUGACUCUGCUGCAGCAGAUUAAUUCUAAAAAGCAACCCAAAAAGAGGAAAAAAAAUUCCUAUAAGUGGCUUUUGACCAAAUGACUGGAAAAUGAGUUCACUGAGAGUUUCACUCAAGCCAAAUCUGCAUUUUGCGGCAUAAUAAACUAUUUGACCAAACAUCA
RNAcentral lists this long non-coding RNA (3825 nucleotides) under Numida meleagris (helmeted guineafowl). RNAcentral describes it as "lncRNA (ENSNMEG00000005420.1)". The record is from RNAcentral. Lineage: Eukaryota; Metazoa; Chordata; Aves; Galliformes; Numididae.